AUGUACAUUUUAAAGAGUUCAGAGUACAGUAAAAAAAUAUGUUUAUAACAUCAUUGCAUUUAAUAUCAAUAGUGUGACCAGUUUUACUCAAUCUGUACUCUUCCAUUUCUCUCCAAAAUCUAAUAGUGUACAAACAACUGUAUAACAAAUGUAUCAGCGUUUCAGGUCCAUCAUUGUAGAAAGUACAUGUCAUGUCUGUAAACCUUAACACCAUUGUGUUGGAGGGGUAUAUAUUGUGCAAAAUCUUUCGGUGCACCUUUCUUAAUAGAAAUAAAAAGAAAUUAAGAUACAAAGCUUUUUGCCAUGAAAUGUCUGAUAGUUGUAAAUUCCAAAAGGGUUUCCCUCUUAUGUGUGAUCUUUCUUUUGCUAGAAAAAAUAUUAUCUUAUGUGUUUAUUUGUACACUUAGGACUUUUGAGUUCAAUACCAUUAAUCAAUAGACUAGGUUCUAGUCUAUGUGUAUCUUGAAAACAUGUAUGACUUUUCAUUAGCUGGGAAAUACCUGAGGGCAUAGCAUUAACCACAGAGCGAUAUUCUUUGUAUGUAACAGGAAAGGCUUUGACUCUUAAAAAGACCUUGUAACUUAACAUUUGGCCACCACUAUCAAACAUGUCACCUACAAAGAUGAUAUUUAAAAAAGAAAUAUGAAAAAGUAAUUGAAAAAUAAUUUCCAUUCCAUAAAGGCUUGCUGAUUACAUUUUGAUAACAUUAGUGGCAGUUUGGGUAUGUUGUAAUUAUAGGACAACCAAGGGUAAUUAUAGGACAACCUAACCCUAACCCUAACCCUAACCCAAAUUGUGAACCCCCAAUUUUCUUACAAAUAUAAUGAGGAAUAAAGAUUCUGGAGAUUCUAUGCAUUUUUUCAAACACUUAAUCCUAAAGAUAUUAUUCAUAUCGACAAAAUGACAUAACUCCCUAGUUGCCCUAAUAAUUUCCCUAAUAGAAUCAUAUCUGCAUUGCUACGUUUACUGUAAGUUAAAAUAGAUUUCCUUUUUCAUGCUGUCACGUAUUCCUCUAACAUUGAGUGAAGUUACUUUCAAAGAACUGAACUUGGAAGUCUGUCAUAGAUGAACAAAAUAUGAUUGAACUAGAUGUCUGUACAACAAAUGAAGGAUUGUAACUCUGAGAUAAUCUGAGAGUAAAGGCACUUGCGAGAAUAGAAAAAAACCUCUGAACAAAACGAGGUACCACAUAUAGACCAAAAAUUGACCAUGUAACAAAAUGGUCAUUAUCAAUGUGAAUCUUGCCUGUCUGCUCCUGCUAGGUCAUCCUAGGUUGGUUGGAUCUAUUGCUGAGGUCGUCAAAUUAUCACGUUCUUCCCAACGAUUAUAGGCGUAUCCAGCCCUUUUCCCUUCCUUACGUGCCUUAUCGACCAGUGGCCAUAGUUUGUGCCUUAGCUGCCUCUCAAGAUGGCAGAUCCUCUUUCACACAAAGCUUUCUCUCUUUCAGGACUUCCGCGUCAUGGAAUGCUCUCCAUAUCUUGUUUCUAAAUGAGCGCAUGGUGUAUUGCAUGAUAACAGGCCGGGUUGUCUUGUCGUUUCGGGGGUAUCCGUCUCUGUGCACCGUGUCCACCAGGUGUCCAAGUUUUUCCCUGUCUUUGGAGUUAUCUUGGCCAAAACAUUGAAAAUCUCUUUCCUCACAUCUUCAUUGCGGGUCUCAGGAAGGUAGAGCCGUAAAUUCCACCUCCUACUGUACCUUUCCGCCUCCUCACUUCUUUCUUGCAACUCAGUAACACGGCUUGUCAUUUUCUUCACAUUAUCCUCAUUUAUAUUAACUUUAAUUUCCACCCCUUUCAGGUCAUCACAUAUGUUGGUAAUAGCCUCUGUUCUUUGAUAUCUUUCAUUUGAGGGCUGUACAAUGGGUCGACAGCGCCGUGACCGCUUUCAGGAUGUCAGCAUUUGAAACAGUAGCCUUCAUAAUCUCGCCCUUCUCCUCCCUUGUGCAGCGCACUUUCUUUGGGUUAG
This 1962-nucleotide long non-coding RNA is filed under the name Salmo salar (Atlantic salmon). RNAcentral describes it as "lncRNA (ENSSSAG00000109944.1)". Lineage: Eukaryota; Metazoa; Chordata; Actinopteri; Salmoniformes; Salmonidae. The record is from RNAcentral.